UGUUUCUAAUAGUGCACUAUCAUUAUUUAAUUUUUUUUCUUCCUUUCUUCAUCUUCUUCAUUCACCUUCAUAAACAGACAACCUAGAAAAAUGAAGAAAACAAAACGCAUAAAAAAUUGUAAAAAGAAACAUCUAAUUUUUUUUUCCUCCAUCUUCUUCCUUAUCGUUCUUCUUCAUCCCCAAAUAAAACUUUCAUUCAUCAUCUUGAAAAAAAAAAUACCAGAAAAUAAAAAAAAUAAAACUCCCAUUCAUUAUUUUUAAUCAAUUCAUCUUUAAAUCACUAAUAAAUUCCCAAAUCAAUCUCAUUCCUGUUGAUGAACACUCUUUUGGAUGUUGUGUUACGAUCCAAAUCUUCACCAACAUAUGUUAUCGGUUUCUUCUCUCAUGCCUUUACCUCACACUACCAUACACACACACAUACAAUUGGAAUAAAUUACUCCUUGCUAAUUUUGAUUCUCAUCAGGAAACCAAAACCGUAAAAAAUCAAUUUUGUCCCGAAUUAGUCUACCCAUUAACCCGAAAUUCCUGCUUCACCCUCCCUGAAAUCUUUGCUCCACGAGACCCAAAUUCCUCAACAACACAAUCAUGACCAACCUUGUUUCUAGGUUUUUAUUGAUGGGUUUUUCAACAUUUAAUUAUGAGUUUCUAUUUCUGAGAUUGAUGAAGAUGGAAGUUAGAAGUAUGAGAUUGAUGAAGAUUCUAAUUUUGUUGUUGUUGUUGUUGCCGUUGUGGAAAAUGUUGUUGUUGUUGUUGAUGGAAUUGUAGCUGAAAUUUAGAUUGGGUGUCUGUGGUUGUUGAAAAGAGAAGAGAAGAAUUUUUUUUUUUUUUUUGUUUGUUGUGAGAAGAAAACAGAUUUGGAGAGAGGAAAGAAGAUGAAGACUUUGGUGAUUGGGUAAUUCUGGAUCUGUGUUGCUAGAAUUUUUUGUUUGUUUUAGGUAUGAAGUUAGGAGAUGAAAAGGAAAGAAGAUGAAGACUUUGGUGAUUUUUCUGGCCAAGGUAAGAGUUGUUGGUGGUGAUGGUAUGAGAGGGAGGCCAAAUGAAAGGAGAGAUAAAGUUUUUUUUAAUAGUUUUUUUCUGGUUUUUGUUUUUGGAUUUAAUUGAUGAAUAUGAUGAAGGUUUUAAUGAAGAUGAGGAAAAAAUAUAAUAAAAUUUUCCAGAGCCAAUGCCGUAAUGACACGUGUACAAAAACUAACAUUUUUUUAUUACACCCUAACAUUUUUGAAUUAAAACUAAUGAAAAUGACCAAAAUGUGUAACAGAGAUAAACUUAAAAUACCAAAACGGAACAAAUUUUAAUUAUUGGACCAAAACGAUAUUAAUUAAAUAGUUGAGGGACGAAAAUAGCAAUUAACGAUAAUUCACUUUUAAUUACGCCAAUCAAUUUGAAAGGACAUGAAUAUGUGCAUCAAACUACGAGAGAAAUCAUAUGUCUGACAAUAUUGUGUGCAAAUAAAACCAUAAGCUCGUGAUACCAAAAAUAAUUAUUAGCUUAAAAGUAACCUACAAUUCUAUUAAACUUAAGGCUUUGUUUGGAUGAUAAAAAAAGUAAAAUUAAAGGAAAGAAAGAGUAAGGAAAGAUUAAAUGAGAAAAGAAAAGGAAUAGAAAGUGAGGGGAUUGUUU
This 1620-nucleotide long non-coding RNA is filed under the name Medicago truncatula (barrel medic). Its description in RNAcentral is "long non-coding RNA (MTRU_LNC008642)". The record is from RNAcentral. Lineage: Eukaryota; Viridiplantae; Streptophyta; Magnoliopsida; Fabales; Fabaceae.